Molecule: ribosomal RNA, 645 nt
Filed under: bacterium HZ35-47
Lineage: Bacteria
Description: bacterial SSU rRNA
Rfam family: Bacterial small subunit ribosomal RNA
Source: RNAcentral
CCUACGGGAGGCAGCAGUAGGGAAUCUUCCGCAAUGGACGAAAGUCUGACGGAGCAACGCCGCGUGAGCGAUGAAGGCCUUCGGGUCGUAAAGCUCUGUUGUUAGGGAAGAAUAAGUGCUAGUUGAAUAAGCUGGCACCUUGACGGUACCUAACCAGAAAGCCACGGCUAACUACGUGCCAGCAGCCGCGGUAAUACGUAGGUGGCAAGCGUUGUCCGGAAUUAUUGGGCGUAAAGCGCGCGCAGGCGGUUUCUUAAGUCUGAUGUGAAAGCCCCCGGCUCAACCGGGGAGGGUCAUUGGAAACUGGGAAACUUGAGUGCAGAAGAGGAAAGUGGAAUUCCAAGUGUAGCGGUGAAAUGCGUAGAGAUUUGGAGGAACACCAGUGGCGAAGGCGACUUUCUGGUCUGUAACUGACGCUGAGGCGCGAAAGCGUGGGGAGCAACAGGAUUAGAUACCCUGGUAGUCCACGCUGUAAACGAUGAGUGCUAAGUGUUAGAGGGUUUCCGCCCUUUAGUGCUGAAGUUAACGCAUUAAGCACUCCGCCUGGGGAGUACGGUCGCAAGACUGAAACUCAAAGGAAUUGACGGGGGCCCGCACAAGUGGUGGAGCAUGUGGUUUAAUUCGAAGCAACGCGAAGAACCUUAC